UACCAGAGUCAGGGGCUUCCUUCAAUUUGGGAUUUGGGCCACUGCAAUUCCUCAUCUGUCCUCAGGGGGCACAGUGUGAGAUUCUGGUAUAACAAAAUGGGUCAUCAGGGAGUGGAGAUGCAGCGUCGGAACCAAGGUCAGAUGCGGCUGCAGCAAAUGAAGAUGCCAUGCAAAGGGCCUCAAGGUUUGCAAUUGGGUAAAAUGCUCAAUUUCAACCCACAGGUCAGGCUCGGUGAGCAGCUCUCCAGCUGUUUGUUCUGUAAUGGUUCCAGUGAACGAGAGGCACUGCGGUCCAAGAAAAUGUCCUGGAGCACCAGUGGGUUCUGGGCUGCUGGCUGAGGGCCACUUGGUAUGCUGUGCCACUGAGCUCUCAGCCGGAAUUUCACCUUGGCUACAUAUUCCUCUCUCAAUCCACUAAUUCCCCAGAAAGGAGACCGUGGACGCACCAUGCCCUUGAAGAACAAUAGAGGAACUGUGGGCUGGGUAUUUGGGGAGAUUCCUGCAGAGGAGGCCGUUGUUCAGGGACCUGGCCUCAUGAUCAGGAUGCGGGCUGUGCGAUUUUUCUCUGAGGAGCUCUAGAAGCCUUGAACCAUGGACUUCAUAGAAUCUUGACUUUUUAGCUAAGUCCACGUGAGAGGUUGCAAAUGAAUGGUCCGUAGGCUGAACACUACCUCCAGGAGUGUUUUGUUUAGCUUGCAUGGUGUUUAAACAUUUUUUGAGUAAGUCACCAACAUUUUAAGAUUGGGAGAUUAAAAAUUUUAGAUUUCUAAUGUCUCUUGAAAAAAAGCAAAGGAAAGAUCUGGCAAUGGCAUCACUGACAUCCCAUUCUUGCCACAGUCCGUCAGAAGCUGGAGAUUUACACUGGGCACCCAUUCCCUGGGCUUUCAUCCCACU
This 894-nucleotide long non-coding RNA is filed under the name Equus caballus (horse). RNAcentral's name for it is "lncRNA (ENSECAG00000057558.1)". The record is from RNAcentral. Lineage: Eukaryota; Metazoa; Chordata; Mammalia; Perissodactyla; Equidae.